This 72-nucleotide non-coding RNA is filed under the name Acinetobacter baretiae. RNAcentral's name for it is "Glycine riboswitch". It matches the Rfam family "Glycine riboswitch aptamer", at positions 9 to 86 of the family's 94-position model. From Rfam's summary of the family: This family represents the bacterial glycine riboswitch. Lineage: Bacteria; Pseudomonadati; Pseudomonadota; Gammaproteobacteria; Moraxellales; Moraxellaceae. The record is from RNAcentral.
UACAGGAGAGUGGUACUCGUUACCCGCCGAAGGAGCAACGACCCCGGAAUCUCUCAGGCCAAAGGACUGUAA